This is a non-coding RNA of Xyrichtys novacula (pearly razorfish), 1257 nucleotides long. The record is from the annotation of a GenBank genome assembly. Lineage: Eukaryota; Metazoa; Chordata; Actinopteri; Labriformes; Labridae.
CACUUACACAAGACACACACACACAUCUCCACAUGGAGUGACCUGCUUCCAUCAUGAAUAUGGAUGUGUUGAAGGAAUGCAAAUAGAGAGACGGAGAGAGGGAGAGAGAGAGAGACGAAAAGUCAGACAGUCAGCAGCACAACAAAGAGGUGGUAGGAAAUGAGAACAAAGGAUCAGCGCGGGUUGAAGCCGCACAGAUGCCUUCACUUCCAGCUCUGCCACAGCCCAGAUCAGAGAGGACAUGUCUGGGUAAGAGCCGCCAUAAAUCACCAAAUACUCCUGUUAGAUUUGUACCCUCUAAUAUAGAUGCUUUUGACAUCAUACUGCUAGUUUUAGUCUUUAGGUUUAUAUGUGUUUAUCUGCUUCAUCCACAACAAUAAAAAACCAUCAGGGCCAUAAACUCACAUCUCACUCAAUCAUCCCCCAGUGCCUCUGAAUGUCUCGUCAUUUAGCAAGGCAGGGCUGAGAGGAGGCAGAGCCGAAGAUAAAUGUGAGGGUAAAUGAAUCAUUCUAAUACGCUUUGUAAAUAUCUGCUUGCUCUCAAGAAGAGGAUCCAGCAGUCACUCAUUGGUGCGUAGACCCCAUAAAUUUUAGAUGAAGCCGGGGAGACAGCUGCCCAGAGGACACUGGUGAUCCCAGCAUGAAAACACUGGAAAUAGCUGUGAGAGAAGAGGCACCAUUAGGGAGCUCUCUGGCCGGUUAAACAACUGGUUUGUAAAAUGGGCUUUUGUGCAGGGAUGAUUUUAAAAAGCACUGGUUAUUGUGAAAUAAAACAGCCUCAUUAAAGGGAGAAAAAAUGCCCUGGAAGUCAGAUUCCGUAUGAGAAAGUGUGCAGGGCGAUGCAACAGAUUUUCCAUGGUGCUUAAAUAGAAUAAGCAAUAAAACGGAUGGCUUCAUAGAUAGUGACAUUUAAUGCAGGAGAAGUGCCAAGCCAGACGUGGUGUACAGGGGUCUGCUUGUAAAUAAUUAAUCUUUGCUCUUCAUGUCUUCUUGUCAGUACAGACGAGGGGCUUGUAUCCUGGCAACGCGCCAUGGUUCCCACAUGCUGCAGGGAGAGGGAGGCCCUCAGGGGGGAGACAAUCUUCAACCUGCCUGCAGCAGCGAGCGUGCACACACAUGCAAACACAGGCAUGCAUGUGUACACCAGAAAUGAGACUGACUGGAUGUUUGUACAUUCUGAGAACAUGCAUAUGUUAGUGUGCAUCCUUUCUCACACACACACACACACACACACACACACACACACACACACACACA